RNAcentral lists this microRNA precursor (77 nucleotides) under Petromyzon marinus (sea lamprey). RNAcentral describes it as "microRNA pma-mir-196b precursor". Its record names the gene pma-mir-196b. It matches the Rfam family "mir-196 microRNA precursor family". Rfam says of the family: In many species the miRNA appears to be expressed from intergenic regions in HOX gene clusters. The hairpin precursors (represented here) are predicted based on base pairing and cross-species conservation -- their extents are not known. Lineage: Eukaryota; Metazoa; Chordata; Hyperoartia; Petromyzontiformes; Petromyzontidae. The record is from miRBase by way of RNAcentral.
UCACGUGGUGUAGGUAGUAUCAUGUUGUUGGGUAUUUACAACAUCCUCGACAACGCGUCACUGCCUUCACCACGCCA